RNAcentral lists this transfer RNA (65 nucleotides) under Hertwigia falcifera. RNAcentral describes it as "tRNA-Glu". Lineage: Eukaryota; Metazoa; Porifera; Hexactinellida; Lyssacinosida; Euplectellidae. The record is from RNAcentral.
UUUCUUGUAGUUUAAACAAAACUAUUGAUCUUCAAUCAAUAAUUAGAGACAAUCUCUCAAGAACA